Molecule: unclassified non-coding RNA, 424 nt
Filed under: soil metagenome
Description: partial contains 5.8S ribosomal RNA, internal transcribed spacer 2, and large subunit ribosomal RNA
Rfam family: 5.8S ribosomal RNA (bases 1-120)
Source: RNAcentral
GAUGAAGAACGCAGCGAAAUGCGAUACGUAAUGUGAAUUGCAGAAUUCAGUGAAUCAUCGAAUCUUUGAACGCAUAUUGCGCUCUCUGGUAUUCCGGAGAGCAUGCUUGUUUGAGUAUCAGUAAACACCUCAACUCCCUUUCUUCUUGAAAUGGAGCUGGACUUGAGUGAUCCCAACGCUUUAUUCAUAAAGUGGCGGGUUACUUGAAAUGCAGGUGCAGCUGGACUUUUCUCUGAGCUAUAAGCAUAUCUAUUUAGUCUGCCUCAAAACAGAUUAUUACCUUUGCUGCAGCUAACAUAAAGGAGAUUAGUUCUUGUGCUGACUGAUGCAGGAUUCACAAAGACCGCUUCGGCUGUCUUUGUAAACUCGAUCUCAAAUCAAGUAAGACUACCCGCUGAACUUAAGCAUAUCAAUAAGCGGAGGA